GCAGUCUGCAACUCGAGUGCAUGAAGCUGGAAUCGCUAGUAAUCGCGGAUCAGAAUGCCGCGGUGAAUACGUUCCCGGGUCUUGUACACACCGCCCGUCACACCAUGGGAGUCGAUAACGCCCGAAGUCAGUGACCCAACCUUAUAGGAGGGAGCUGCCGAAGGCGGGAUUGAUAACUGGGGUGAAGUCGUAACAAGGUAAC
This 202-nucleotide ribosomal RNA is filed under the name uncultured bacterium. Its description in RNAcentral is "partial 16S ribosomal RNA". It matches the Rfam family "Bacterial small subunit ribosomal RNA", at positions 1300 to 1500 of the family's 1533-position model. The record is from RNAcentral.